This is a long non-coding RNA of Musa acuminata AAA Group (dessert banana), 1388 nucleotides long. RefSeq lists it as uncharacterized. The transcript has 5 exons. The record is from RefSeq and is a predicted model, not a curated record. NCBI's taxonomy places the organism in Eukaryota, Viridiplantae, Streptophyta, Magnoliopsida, Zingiberales, Musaceae.
UUGGGAGGGAACGGAAAGGCGGAAAUCUCAAAUCUCUCUCUCUCUCUCUCUCUUUCUGUCACGCGCACACACACACGCAACUCAAUCAAUCGUUUCGGAAGGAGUUCGAGGUUCCGCCCCUCUUUUAGAGAUUAGGGUUCUUCGUCGGCGAAUAAUUUACCACGCUAACGAUUGUGUACAGUUCUUCUUCUUUUACGGAGUACACUAUACUUUUAAGUACAUCGUGAUCAUUCGAGCCAAAAGGUGAUGAUUUUGGGUACCGAGCCUUUGUUCCCGUUCAAGGCAGUUUAAGAAAUCAUUCGUUCACGCCCCAAUUUGAUGAUGUAUUCUUCUAUAUUAAGAAUGCAAAAGCAAGAUGUUGAUAGAAGCUAGUGACCUAAACGUUUGGUAGCUUUUGAUGGUUCGGUGUCGUAUGAUCAUUCAAGCAGGAUGUUGUUGGAUGCUGGAUGAGGUGGAGGCCAAUGUCAAACAGCGAGGAUCUGUUUGGUUUUUUCGUUUCCUCCACUUCUUGCAACUACAAAAAAUUACCUGCUGGUGGAGAAACAAGUUUGCGUAAAGGUGUCGGGGACAUCAGGAAUUCUUUGAAAGAAGUCUGCGGUUGAUGCGGUCCAUGGAGUUGGUUCACCAGCCUAUUUUAUCGCCACAAGUUUGAGGUAAGAAAUUGUGUUUGUUGUGAUUGUAGGUAGCAGGCAUUAAGCUUGGCUCAUCAUUGCCAUGAUCUUUGAGAAGUAAUAUAUGGAGGAGAAAUGGUUGUUGCUUGCUCCCGUUGAUCAAGUUCUACAGAAAUUGUCAUCUAAAUCAAAUCAUACAAGAAGAGAAAGAGCGAGUUUUUUCUAUAGGAGGCUAUCGACUGGUUCAUGCGUAUUUGGGGUUGAUGUAGCAGCUGGUGUUUGCUGUCGAGGCGAAAAUGUUGAUCAGUUUUGCAGAAAACAAAUAUAUGCAUGUAUGUAUUUAUGUUUGUAUUUGGGGUCUUACCAUGGAAGCCACAGACUGCAAUACUUCUUCACAUGGUUGCUAGUUUCAUAACAAAGCUGGAGCGAGAUUUCUGUAAUGCUUUAGUUUUAGUAGCAAACAAAGGGCAUGAUUUUGUCAACGGGCCAUAUCUACCGUUAUCAUGUUCAUCCAAAUGGAUUGCCCCCAACAGGAUUGACAGAAUUCGGAGUACUUGCUUGGGCGUAGCUGAUAGCUGGCUGUUGAUGGAUACCUGAAGUACCACAAUCAGUUCCUCUGUUGUCAGUACCUAAUCCGCCUUGAUUACUGCAAUGAGAUGCAUAAAGCGUCCAUUAAUGUCUGUAAAAGUCAGUCCUUUUCUGUAAAUAAUAGCAUAUGCAAUAUUACACAGAAACACAAGUUAAUUGAGUAGCAGGUGACAAAAGCUCUUUUGUUUC